This 186-nucleotide ribosomal RNA is filed under the name Mastigocladus laminosus NTMS03. RNAcentral describes it as "partial 16S ribosomal RNA". It matches the Rfam family "Bacterial small subunit ribosomal RNA", at positions 432 to 634 of the family's 1533-position model. The record is from RNAcentral. Lineage: Bacteria; Bacillati; Cyanobacteriota; Cyanophyceae; Nostocales; Hapalosiphonaceae.
UCUUUUCUCAGGGAAGAAUGAUGACGGUACCUGAGGAAUCAGCAUCGGCUAACUCCGUGCCAGCAGCCGCGGUAAUACGGAGGAUGCAAGCGUUAUCCGGAAUGAUUGGGCGUAAAGCGUCCGCAGGUGGUUGUGUGUGUCUAUUGUCAAAGCGUCACGCUUAACGUGAUAUGGGCAGUAGAAACU